Abrus precatorius (Indian licorice) is the source of this 3159-nucleotide RNA transcript. RefSeq lists it as uncharacterized. Lineage: Eukaryota; Viridiplantae; Streptophyta; Magnoliopsida; Fabales; Fabaceae. The record is from RefSeq and is a predicted model, not a curated record. The transcript has 17 exons.
CCGAAACGAAGGAAACAAGAAAAGAGAGUAAGAGAGAGGAGAGACAUGGUUCGUGUGCAUUCCAAUCCUUCUUGAGUCUUGACCUUGUUCUUAGUCCUACUCUUCCAAACCCUAAAUUUCUUGCAUGCAUUAUAUCUCUCUUCCAUUCCCAAUUUCAGAACUCUUGAGUGUGAGUGCCAGAAAACAUGUCUUGGCUGAGAUCUGCGGUCAUCAAAGCCGUCGAGGUCGGCAACAAGAACAACCUCACUCGCACCGUCAAGAACUACGCAGAUUCCGUCGUUCAACACGCCGGCCAAGCCGUUGCUGAGGGCGCCAAAAUCCUUCAAGAUCGCAUUUCUGCUCGGAAUUAUAGAAGUAUUGCGCAGACAGUUAAAAGAUUGGAAGAGGCUGCUAUCACCUAUAGGGGACCUGAGAGGGUGCAGUUGCUUAGAAGAUGGCUUGUUGUGCUUAAUGAGAUUAAGAAUUUGUCUGAUGCGGCGCUCGCUGAUGGUAAAGAGAAGACUCUUGAGCAGCAUCUUGCUGUUGAAGAAGCCAAGGAGAACCCGAGGAGACCGUCUUUGGUUCUUUAUUAUGACUCUGAUGUUGGAGGUGAACCAUUGAAUUUUCGUGAUGUUUUUCUUCGAAGUCAGGCAUUGGAGGGUAUAACAUUAUCAAUGGGUUAACUCUUUUCUAUUCCUCAGAUUAUCGAAGCUCCUAAUGAGGAAGAGGUUUCCCUUCUCCUGGAGAUGUUUGGGCUUUGUCUUAGUGGAGGGAAAGAAGUUCAUAAUGCCAUAGUAAGCAGCUUGCAAGAUUUAGCUACAGCCUUUUCAAGCUAUGAAGAUGAAGUAUUGGUGAAGCGAGAGGAAUUGCUUCAGUUUGCACAAGGUGCCAUCACUGGGUUGAAAAUAAAUUCUGAUCUUUCAAGAAUAGAUGCUGAAGCCUCUAGUCUUAAGCAAAAACUCAUAGAGAUAACAAGUUCACAGGAGCCUGUAGACAAAGGUGUUUAUGAUGCUGCAGAGGAAACAAUAGCAUCAUUAGAGGCCUUAAAAGUUGCUCUUUCUCAAAUUAGAAUCUGUUCCAGAUUGGAAGCAUUGCUGCUGAAGAAAAAUAAUUUAAGCUAUGGAGACUCUCCUGAGAUUCAUGCACAAAAGGUACAAUUCUUUCCUCUAUGAGCUUCUUUGUGUAGAUUAGGAGGUAGGAGAACAAGGGGGGCAUUUCUAACUCUUUUCUCUAAAAAACUAAAUAUAGAGGAAUUAAAAUAAGAAUGGUUUAUCUUGAUUCGACUAAAAUAAAAAUGGAAUCUCUCAAAAAAUGGAGAGAAACUGAAAACAAAAUAAAUAAAAAAGCUGUAUCAUUUCUUAUUUUUGCAAUUACCAUUCUUUAGUUGUCUGUAGUAUCAAUAAAAAAAGAUGGUUAUUUUUUAGUUCUAUUAUUUAUUUUCUUCUACUCAUUAACUUAAAUCACUUGACAUCCCAAAAAUGCAAAAAUUAUUGUCCACGUUAUCAUUUUUGUUUUAAUUGUUCCUUAUAUUUUGUUCUCAAAUUGUAUGCAAAUUGCACUGCAAAAUAAUAAAACUACCAACUGUCUUGGUUUUAAAGAGGGAUAGCCAGAUCUGAUAAUCCUAUAUGAGUAUGUAUCAUAGCUUUUGUUAGUAAGAAUGAGAUUGGUAGGGGGCUAUUCUGUUAACUCUUUUGGUAAUAUUGUCAGUCCUAUUUGAAUGAUCUGACUGAAUGUUUAUUGGGUGAUAUAGUUAUAUUAUUUUCCAUUUAUGGCAAUACUAUCAUGCUUUUAAGUAGGUUGAUAAGCUGAAGGUUUUAACGGAAUCUCUUGCCAACUCUGCUGCAAAAGCUGAAAAGCGUAUUGUAGAUAACAGAUUACAAAAAGAGGAAGCAUUAAAAGUUCGUGUGACUAAAAGUGGUGAAGCUAGUGAAAAGGAGAAGGAACUUGCAGCUGAGAUAUCUGAUCUGCAACAGAAAAAAGAAGCUCUCGAGGCUGAACUGAAAAAGGUUAACACUUCUUUGUCUGCUGCUCAAGCACGAUUAUGGAAUGUGAGGGAAGAGAGAGACCAGUUUGAGGAAGCAAACAAUCAAAUAGUUGAACACCUGAAGAUAAAGGAAGAUGAACUUUCGAAAUCAAUUAGCUCAUGCAAGGUAGAAGCAGAUGUUAUCAAAACCUGGAUUAAUUUUCUGGAAGAUACUUGGGUUCUUCAGCGGUCAAAUGCAGAAGUUAGUGAGAAGCAGGUCAAUGAUGAAUUGGAGAGACAUGAAGACUACUUUGUGAACUUGGCCAUUCAACUUCUUACUGCUUACCAGAAAGAUUUAGAGCCUUGUAUUAACCAUAUUGGAACAUUUGUUGUGAACCUCAAGAAUUUAAGCAAGAGGUUAGAGAUGACAUCCAGUGCAGAUACUGAGGAUUCAAAAGUAUUAAGUCCAAGGAGGAAUCUUGAGGAGGAAUAUUUGACCUAUGAAGCCAAGAUCAUUACAACAUUCAGUGUAGUGGAUAACAUGAAACAGCAGUUUUACGCCCAACAGGGGAAGAUCUCCAGGAAUGAUGAAGAGAGAGUUAAAGAGCUGUUUGAUGUUAUUGAAAAGUUACGAACUCAAUUUGAGUCUAUUGAGAGACCAAUUCUUGAAUUAGAGAGCCCAACUGCAAAGGAUGAAACACCACCUUUUGACAAAAGGUCUGAUGGUACUUCUUCACUUUCUGCUGCGGGUCAAGGUACUGAGCUUUCAAAGCCGGAAACAGAUGAACAGCCAAAAUCACCUCCAGUUAAGGCAGACCAAAUAUUGGACCAUGAAGCUGAAUUAGCUAAGCUGGAAUCUGAGUUUGGAAAGGUUAGUCAGGAUUAUUCAGCAGAGGAAAUCGGUGAUUGGGAAUUUGAUGAACUUGAAAGAGAAUUGGCUUCUGGUAAUUAAGCAACAAGUAAUUAUGUCAAUCUUAUUUCUGAGUUAUUAAUGCUUGCCUUUGUAUUUUUAUAAUGAAGCUGCAAGUAUCAUAAAUUUGUAAGCUGUAGGUCGGCUGUUAAUGAAGCUGUAGUUUGGAAAAAAUGCGUUUGACUUUGUAAACAUUACAUAGAUAAUUUCUUGAUUCUUCUGUAAAUUACUGAAUUUGUAACACGCAGACGCAGUCAUCAAAUGAUUUGAAAUUAUCAGUAUGGUUAUAAAAUUUGCACUCGUUGAU